CUGACCUCGGAUCAGACGUGAAUACCCGCUGAACUUAAGCAUAUCACUAAGCGGAGGAAAAGAAACUAACAAGGAUUCCCUCAGUAAUGGCGAAUGAAGAGGGAAAAGCCCAGCACCGAAGCCUGUGGCUAUUUGGUCACUAGGCAAUGUGGUGUUCAGGUCGUUCCACGGAGAUGCUGCUCCACCCUAAGUCCAACAUUGAAUAUGGCUUGGACGUGGCCCAUAGAGGGUGAAAGGCCCGUGUGGGUGGAGGCUCGUUCGGCCAGUGUCUCUCUGGGUAGACCUUGGAGUCGGGUUGUUUGUGAAUGCAGCCCAAAGUGGGUGGUAAACUCCAUCCAAGGCUAAAUACAAGCACGAGUCCGAUAGCGAACAAGUACCGUGAGGGAAAGUUGAAAAGUACUUUGAAGAGAGAGUAAACAGUGCGUGAAACCGCUCAGAGGUAAACGGGUGGAGUUGAACUGCAAGCCUUGUGGAUUCAGCUGGUGAACAUGAUUUGAUCUUGGUUAUUGUGAUUGAGCUUCGGGGUCUGCGUAUUGGCAGGUCUCUGCCUUCGGGUGGGGAUGCGCGAUGCACCUACCAUGUGCUGUGCGCCUUGUUGCUUUCGAGUCUGUUUGCCAGUGCACUUUCGCAGGGUAUUCACCACGACCGGCGUUGUCGUCUGACUGUUGAUGUUAAACCGGCCUUGCAUUGUUUUCGGAUUUUGCUUGGUGGGGAUGGCAGGUAGCCUGUUGGUGACCGCAGCUUGCUGUGGUUGUCUUUGGGUGUAAUCAGCUGACUUCAAUGGUUCUGUGCGGUACGUCGGAGACGGCGGCUUGUUGUGUGUGCGCGCGUGCCGAUCUCGUGGGCAGGUUCGGGUCUGAUUGUCUUGUUGCUUGUCUAAAGGCAGGCCAGGCGGUGGCUCGGAUUUGUUCCGUGGGUGGUUGCGUGUGUGUCAUUUUGAAGGGCCAAUAGUCUGUGGUGUAGUGGUAGACGAUCCACCUGACCCGUCUUGAAACACGGACCAAGGAGAGUAACAUGUGCGCAAGUCAUUGGGCGUAACGAAACCCAUAGGCGAAGUGAAAGUAAAUGCUUGGCUUGUCCUUGCUGAGGUGAGAUCCUGUCGUUUCUCAUGCGCGGUAUUACCAAGCUUCGAGCGGCAGGCGCAUCACCGGCCCGUCUCAUGACGUUAGUACAUUGUGCAUCGUCGGGGCGGAGCAUGAGCGUACAUGUUGAGACCCGAAAGAUGAUGAACUAUGCUUGUGCAGGUUGAAGCCAGAGGAAACUCUGGUGGAGGACCGCAGCGAUUCUGACGUGCAAAUCGAUCGUCAAACAUGGGUAUAGGGGCGAAAGACUAAUCGAAUCAUCUAGUAGCUGGUUCCCUCCGAAGUUUCCCUCAGGAUAGCA
RNAcentral lists this ribosomal RNA (1383 nucleotides) under Capitimitta darwinensis. RNAcentral describes it as "eukaryotic LSU rRNA". It matches the Rfam family "Eukaryotic large subunit ribosomal RNA", at positions 1 to 983 of the family's 3401-position model. Lineage: Eukaryota; Metazoa; Platyhelminthes; Trematoda; Plagiorchiida; Haploporidae. The record is from RNAcentral.